This 522-nucleotide ribosomal RNA is filed under the name Triticum aestivum (bread wheat). Its description in RNAcentral is "partial small subunit ribosomal RNA". Lineage: Eukaryota; Viridiplantae; Streptophyta; Magnoliopsida; Poales; Poaceae. The record is from RNAcentral.
AUGAUGGAAGAUCGGUACUGCCUAGAGCAGAUCAUCUUGGGAAUUACCUAUACUGAUUGUGAAGAUGCUCUCAUUUGGCAAUAUGAAGCUAAAGGCAAAUAUACUACUGGUUCCCUCUACAGUAUUAUUAACUUUAGAGGGGUUAAACCUAUCUUUAUUCCCUCAAUUUGGUCUAUUGUGGUGCCCCCAAGAGUGCAGGUUUUCUUAUGGCUUUUAUCCCACAAUAAACUUAUGACAAAAGACAAUCUCAGUAAGAGGGGGAUUGAAAACCCUCCUGAGUGUGUCUUCUGUUCAGAACAAGAAACUAUUACACACCUUUUCUUUGAUUGUGUGGUCGCUAAAAACAUGUGGCAACACAUCUCCAAUUUCUUUGGAAUUAGUCUGGGAGAUGACUUCCUUUCAAUUGCCAGAUACUGGCCUGCUAGUAAGAAGCUAUUAAUUCUGUCUGUGCAUGUGCUUUAUGGAGUAUAUGGAAGAUUGGAAAUACCCAUAUCUUCAAAAAUGCCAUGUGGACUGACAUGA